RNAcentral lists this long non-coding RNA (2662 nucleotides) under Daphnia pulex (common water flea). RNAcentral's name for it is "uncharacterized LOC124190623". The record is from RNAcentral. Lineage: Eukaryota; Metazoa; Arthropoda; Branchiopoda; Diplostraca; Daphniidae.
UACAAGGCCGACGAAUGUCAACAAGGCCUUGGAUUAAAUCAUUGUAAAUAAUCAAAAGUCAAAACAUGGGCUGAAUAAUUUUUGAAGAGAAUUUUCGCGUAAAAUGCUUUUCAUUACACAAUCAAGAAAAUUCAAGUCUUGUAGAGAAAUGUAGAGAAUUGGUUAUACACUUAUUUGUUGGACAAUGUUUGGUGCUGGGAUGUGAAUCUUUUCAUUUUUUCAACUAUUGUGUGAAGAAGAAGAAAAAUGUUGAUUAAGAAUCAAGGAUUGAAAAGGAAGACGAGACAUUUAGAUACUGACAUGGCUGUCCAUCAGACCAAAUUGGUUGUCGCCAGUUGUGACAGUUAAUGUAAAUGGAAACAGUCAUUCAGGGAGAACAAGAUAGAAUUGGAAAACGAAGAAUCAGCCUGGAUCACUAUUGCCCAGACCGAGGAAUGGAACUAGUUCCAUCCCUGGAUGUGGAAGGAGAUUGUAAAGAACCACACAUGCCACAAGAACUGAUUGUCACCUCCCAAGUGUACUUUCCUCCCAUCAAGCUUUUUCAUUCUGGUCCUGGCUUGCUAACUCUUCUUUCCGAAGCUAACUAUGAAUUACUGAAUGUGUAGUUCACACGAUAUAACAUGGCUUUUGUGUGCAAAUAGCUUGAGGAGAAGCAUGUUCAACCAAACCUCAACUUUGGUCACAUCUUGGUUGCGUAUGGGUUCCAGGCAGAUUACAAUUUCCACAACAAAUUCAAGCCGGCUUGGGAAAGCCGGCUGCCUUGUGUUUCUGCGCCGGAACUGCUUCAUGGGAAGGUUAACCCAGAUGCUGCUUCAGCCAAUAUUCUUCAUGAAGUGCAUGCUGCCGUAGAAAGAGGAGUAUUGGGAUCGCUUGUAGCAACCUGGACUGUUGGUGGACACAGGAUCGUUACAUUUCGCUUGGCCAGGAUGGAUUUGCUUGUUUGGCUUGGAAUCAUUCCAUUCAUUAAAAUAUCUGAUGAUAUUCUAGUGAACACAAAAGACUUCUGAUGGAUUACACACAAAUUAGUCAUGAACUCUAACAGGCCUGGGAUUUAGAUCAAUGAGUCAAAGCACAAAAAACUGUAAUAUUCCGAAUAUUCAGUGCUCUAUGAUUCUGCUUCAAACUCACCUAUUUGCCUUUUACCUCAUUCUUGAUAUUAUCUUCAUAAUUUUGGUGAAAUGGUUGUUUAAGUGAUUGCUGACAAAGAUAUCAGGCUUGUUGGUUUUGGAAAUUGGAUGCAUCUACAACUGAUUUUUCCCGGUAUUGGCAGUGAGAAAAUGUCUGGGAAACCACUGAGGGCAAGAUCAACACCUGUGAAGAAAUUGAUUGGACCAAGGUGUUGGCCCAUCAUCUAUGGCAUUUCAUUUCCCCGGUUGGGAGUAUCACUGACGCCUUGAUCGAGUAGGCCUACGAGGCCUCUUGCGGCAUAUUGUCAGACCCGAACGACGCUGAAAUCCUGAAAUCUAUGCCAGUGAGCCAUCUUCUUCCUAUUCUGCUAUUCAUCAACAUGUGCUUCGUUCAGAGACUUGUGUUUCCAACUGAUUUCACUCUGCUGUCUCCGUACGAUUCCGCUGAAAAAGUUGGUCAAUCCUCUGAGCCACAGCACAUGGAACGUUUGCGAAAAGGUUCUGUCUUGGUUGCUUGGCAGCAACGCCAAGCCUUGCGCUACUCACAUCUUUCGGAAAUUAUUGCUACCCGGUUGUCGAUUCGUUCGCUUCCCAGUUGAAAAUUGUAGCCUCUGACAUUGGGCCACUUUUGCCGCGAUGCAUCUGAUAUCGUCACCAUCUUUUGCGUUUGUCGCGUAGCGUUUGUGGAAGACAUCCUCGGCCGUUAUAUCGGACAAGAAAAAGACGAGCAGUGCGAGCGUUUCCUCGUCGAAAACUUUGCGUUCCGUCUCAGUGGAUUGAGGAAUGUCGGGCAGUUAAGUCGCUCUAUGCGUUUAAUCCGAAACUUCAUGCCACUUCCCUGCUUGCCGCUGAACUUUACAGCCAAGCACACGACGUUAUCUGUGAUGAACUUGCUCCGGAAGCUAUCCUGUUUGAAACCUAUCUGGAGUUGGAGGAACUCUUGACCCUCUUGGCUGACCCGGAACGAUUCAGUACGAUUGCCGAUUGGUACCUAAUAAGAGCAAAGUUUAUUGGAAUUACAUCACAGUCGUCAAAGCCGUAGAUCGAAUUUUAAAGCAGGAUAAUUCCAGUAUAAGAGAAUGCAACUAGAAUCUCUGCAAGUUGGUGUCCUUUCUACCCGUACCCUCCGCCAAGCACAGGCUUGUUCGCACGGAAAAAGCAAAGUUGUCGGUCAACGCAUCUGAGGAAACUUGGGUUCCCUCUCGUUUUUUCCUGCCGCAAUAACUCCGUCAGCUUCCUGUGGCUGUGACGCAGGAUUACUCGCUCUCAGAGCUUAACAACCUUGUCCGUGCGUACUUUCUCGAACUGAAUGUUCAAAAGGUGCCAAGUAAAAAAGAUGCUGUAUUUUUUUAUUAUCAUUGUUUAAAAAUUGUUCUCGUGAUCGACUGUGAAUUUGCGUCUUUUGUAAACGAAACAUUGCUAUCCCAAAUCUAGAGCAAAUGUCAUAAGUAACACUUCAACACUCGCCUCAUCGUGUCAUAGUGGCUGUAUAAAAAAGGACUGGAUAACUCGUGAAUAAAACUGUGUUAAAUUUA